GACGAACGCUGGCCGCGUGCUUAACACAUGCAAGUCGAACGGUGAUGGCCAGCUUGCUGGUCUGAUCAGUGGCGAACGGGUGAGUAACACGUGAGCAACCUGCCCUUCACUCUGGGAUAAGCCCUGGAAACGGGGUCUAAUACCGGAUAUGAGACGCAUCCGCAUGGGUAGUGUCUGGAAAGAUUUAUCGGUGAAGGAUGGGCUCGCGGCCUAUCAGCUUGUUGGUGGGGUAGUGGCCUACCAAGGCGACGACGGGUAGCCGGCCUGAGAGGGCGACCGGCCACACUGGGACUGAGACACGGCCCAGACUCCUACGGGAGGCAGCAGUGGGGAAUAUUGCACAAUGGGCGCAAGCCUGAUGCAGCGACGCCGCGUGGAGGAUGACGGCCUUCGGGUUGUAAACUCCUUUCAGCAGGGAAGAAGCGCAAGUGACGGUACCUGCAGAAGAAGCGCCGGCUAACUACGUGCCAGCAGCCGCGGUAAUACGUAGGGCGCAAGCGUUGUCCGGAAUUAUUGGGCGUAAAGAGCUCGUAGGCGGUUUGUCGCGUCUGCUGUGAAAACCUAAGGCUCAACCUUGGGCUUGCAGUGGGUACGGGCAGACUAGAGUGCGGUAGGGGUGACUGGAAUUCCUGGUGUAGCGGUGGAAUGCGCAGAUAUCAGGAGGAACACCGAUGGCGAAGGCAGGUCACUGGGCCGCAACUGACGCUGAGGAGCGAAAGCAUGGGGAGCGAACAGGAUUAGAUACCCUGGUAGUCCAUGCCGUAAACGUUGGGCACUAGGUGUGGGGCUCAUUCCACGAGUUCCGUGCCGCAGCAAACGCAUUAAGUGCCCCGCCUGGGGAGUACGGCCGCAAGGCUAAAACUCAAAGAAAUUGACGGGGGCCCGCACAAGCGGCGGAGCAUGCGGAUUAAUUCGAUGCAACGCGAAGAACCUUACCAAGGCUUGACAUACACCGGAAAAGUGCAGAGAUGUGCUCCCCGUAAGGUCGGUGUACAGGUGGUGCAUGGUUGUCGUCAGCUCGUGUCGUGAGAUGUUGGGUUAAGUCCCGCAACGAGCGCAACCCUCGUCCCAUGUUGCCAGCGGGUUAUGCCGGGGACUCAUGGGAGACUGCCGGGGUCAACUCGGAGGAAGGUGGGGAUGACGUCAAAUCAUCAUGCCCCUUAUGUCUUGGGCUUCACGCAUGCUACAAUGGCCGGUACAAAGGGCUGCGAUACCGCGAGGUGGAGCGAAUCCCAAAAAGCCGGUCUCAGUUCGGAUUGGGGUCUGCAACUCGACCCCAUGAAGUCGGAGUCGCUAGUAAUCGCAGAUCAGCAACGCUGCGGUGAAUACGUUCCCGGGCCU
This 1341-nucleotide ribosomal RNA is filed under the name uncultured bacterium. RNAcentral's name for it is "bacterial SSU rRNA". It matches the Rfam family "Bacterial small subunit ribosomal RNA", at positions 28 to 1381 of the family's 1533-position model. The record is from RNAcentral.